This 239-nucleotide ribosomal RNA is filed under the name uncultured bacterium. RNAcentral's name for it is "partial 16S ribosomal RNA". It matches the Rfam family "Bacterial small subunit ribosomal RNA", at positions 116 to 354 of the family's 1533-position model. The record is from RNAcentral.
CGUGAGUAACCUGCCCUGGAGUGGGGAAUAACAGCUGGAAACAGCUGCUAAUACCGCAUAAUGCAGUUGGGUCGCAUGGCUCUGACUGCCAAAGAUUUAUCGCUCUGGGAUGGACUCGCGUCUGAUUAGCUAGUUGGUGGGGCAACGGCCCACCAAGGCGACGAUCAGUAGCCGGACUGAGAGGUUGGCCGGCCACAUUGGGACUGAGACACGGCCCAGACUCCUACGGGAGGCAGCAG